RNAcentral lists this ribosomal RNA (136 nucleotides) under Collybiopsis melanopus. Its description in RNAcentral is "Gymnopus melanopus partial large subunit ribosomal RNA". Lineage: Eukaryota; Fungi; Basidiomycota; Agaricomycetes; Agaricales; Omphalotaceae. The record is from RNAcentral.
AAACGCUUGAAGUCAGUCGCGUUAGUUGGGGAUCAGCCUUCCUUUUGGUUGGUGUACUUCCCAGUUGACGGGUCAGCAUCAGUUUUGACCAGUGGAUAAAAGCUUGAGGAAUGUGGCAUCUUCGGGUGUGUUAUAG